UGCCGGGGACUCAUGGGAGACUGCCGGGGUCACACCGGAGGAAGGUGGGGAUGACGUCAAGUCCUCAGGCCCCUUACGUCCAGGGCUGCACACGUGCUACAAUGGUCGGUACAAAGGGCUGCAAACCCGCGAGGGAGAGCGAAUCCCAUAAAGCCGAUCUCAGUUCGGAUCGCAGUCUGCAACUCGACUGCGUGAAGUUGGAGUCGCUAGUAAUCGCAGAUCAGCAUUGCUGCGGUGAAUACGUUCCCGGGCCUUGUACACACCGCCCGUCACACCACGAAAGUUGGUAACACCCGAAGCCAGUGGCCCAACCCUUGGGAGGGAGCUGUCGAAGGUGGGAUUAGCGAUUGGGGUGAAGUCGUAACAAGGUAGCCGUACCGGAAGGUGCGGCUGGAUCACCUCCUUUCUAAGGAGCA
RNAcentral lists this ribosomal RNA (416 nucleotides) under Actinomycetota bacterium. Its description in RNAcentral is "bacterial SSU rRNA". It matches the Rfam family "Bacterial small subunit ribosomal RNA", at positions 1129 to 1533 of the family's 1533-position model. Lineage: Bacteria; Bacillati; Actinomycetota. The record is from RNAcentral.